GAUAAGCGCUUGAGGGGAAGGUGAAAACCUUCGACAAAGUUCGAGCCGAGCGAAGCAAGACAACAACGCAAAGCGGCGGCCCGAAGGGUGAGGAACGAAGUGAUGAAUAAUCCUUAUUCCACCACCA
RNAcentral lists this small RNA (127 nucleotides) under Yersinia entomophaga. RNAcentral's name for it is "RtT sRNA". It matches the Rfam family "RtT RNA". From Rfam's summary of the family: This family represents a bacterial cis-regulatory element known as RtT RNA. The exact function of RtT is unknown although it is thought that it may be involved in changing the cellular response in relation to amino acid starvation. Lineage: Bacteria; Pseudomonadati; Pseudomonadota; Gammaproteobacteria; Enterobacterales; Yersiniaceae. The record is from RNAcentral.